RNAcentral lists this RNase P RNA (351 nucleotides) under Hydrogenophaga palleronii. RNAcentral describes it as "RNase P class A". It matches the Rfam family "Bacterial RNase P class A". Rfam says of the family: Ribonuclease P (RNase P) is a ubiquitous endoribonuclease, found in archaea, bacteria and eukarya as well as chloroplasts and mitochondria. Its best characterised activity is the generation of mature 5'-ends of tRNAs by cleaving the 5'-leader elements of precursor-tRNAs. Lineage: Bacteria; Pseudomonadati; Pseudomonadota; Betaproteobacteria; Burkholderiales; Comamonadaceae. The record is from RNAcentral.
GAAGCGCACCAGACCGCCGCUGGCACGACAUCCCGAAAGGGUGUGCUGGAGGAACGUCCGGACUGCACAGGACAGCGUAGGAGGUAACACCUCUCCACCGACAAGCUUGAGGAGUUCGCUCCGAAGGCCCUAAGGUGAGGAUCAGAGCAACAGAGACGAGCCGAUUCAGUUCGGGUGAAACGGGCAAUCUCUACGCGCAGCAAUACCAAAUAGGCCAGCGUUGACGUGGUUCCGCGGAGUUGGCGGGUAGGUAGCACCGAGCCGGGUGGGUGACCCUCGGCCCAGAUGAAUGGCGGUCACACCGGGGGAAACCCCGGUGCACAGAAUCCGGCGUAACGGUGCGCUUCACAC